This 549-nucleotide ribosomal RNA is filed under the name uncultured Glomus. RNAcentral's name for it is "SSU rRNA". It matches the Rfam family "Eukaryotic small subunit ribosomal RNA", at positions 548 to 1098 of the family's 1831-position model. Lineage: Eukaryota; Fungi; Glomeromycota; Glomeromycetes; Glomerales; Glomeraceae. The record is from RNAcentral.
UUGGAGGGCAAGUCUGGUGCCAGCAGCCGCGGUAAUUCCAGCUCCAAUAGCGUAUAUUAAAGUUGUUGCAGUUAAAAAGCUCGUAGUUGAAUUUCGGGGUUAGUAGGUUGGUCAUGCCUCUGGUAUGUACUGGUCUCACUGAUUCCUCCUUCCUGAUGAACCGUAAUGCCAUUAAUUUGGUGUUGCGGGGAAUUUGGACUGUUACUUUGAAAAAAUUAGAGUGUUUAAAGCAAGCUAACGCUUGAAUACAUUAGCAUGGAAUAAUGAAAUAGGACGUUCGAUCCUAUUUUGUUGGUUUCUAGGAUUGACGUAAUGAUUAAUAGGGAUAGUUGGGGGCAUUAGUAUUCAAUUGUCAGAGGUGAAAUUCUUGGAUUUAUUGAAGACUAACUACUGCGAAAGCAUUUGCCAAGGAUGUUUUCAUUAAUCAAGAACGAAAGUUAGGGGAUCGAAGACGAUCAGAUACCGUCGUAGUCUUAACCAUAAACUAUGCCGACUAGGGAUCGGAUGAUGUUAAUUUUUUAAUGUCUCAUUCGGCGCCUUACGGGAAAC